Nyctereutes procyonoides (raccoon dog) is the source of this 582-nucleotide long non-coding RNA. RefSeq lists it as uncharacterized. The transcript is spliced from 3 exons. The record is from RefSeq and is a predicted model, not a curated record. Lineage: Eukaryota; Metazoa; Chordata; Mammalia; Carnivora; Canidae.
CUGAUGGAUUAGUUAUCAGCCUCCCGAUUCUCCUCACCCUGGAUUAUUUCCGAACACUUUGGAGGCAUUUAUUUUCAGGUACACCAGUGAAAACAAUGGGCCCAACUUUUUCCAGGUGACAGUCAAGUGAUCAUUGUCACCAGCACACUCGACCUUAUGAACAUAAGCUGGGGGCUGCAACCAUUUCCAGGGAAGAUCUGCAAGUAAGAGGAAACUUCUUUUGCCAUGGAGGCCAACCCUGUGAGGUGGAGACUAUCGUUGCCAUCAUACCCACCCAACAGAUGAGGAGACUGAGGCUUAGGGAGAGAUGAACUGGCUCCAGGUCACAUGGCCAGGAAUUGGGGUUAGAAGCCAGGUCUGCCGGACUCCAGAGGACAGAGACUCAACCUCUAUGCUCUUCGGCCUCCCUGUGUUGUCUGUUCAGCGCUAACACUCUGUGAUGUUUCUGAGUUUCUCCUGGUCAACCAUAAGGGAGAGACUCUGUCCUUUACUGGAGAGACCGUGUGCCCUUUAUCCAGCCUCAGCCCACACCACGCCUGGCACAGACAGGGUGCUCAAUGAAUAUUUAUGGAAUAAAGGGCA